UACGAAGGGGGCUAGCGUUGUUCGGAAUAACUGGGCGUAAAGCGCACGUAGGCGGACUUGUAAGUUGGGGGUGAAAGCCCAGUGCUCAACCCUGGAACUGCCUCCGAUACUGCAAGUCUCGAGUCCGGGAGAGGUGAGUGGAAUUCCUAGUGUAGAGGUGAAAUUCGUAGAUAUUAGGAAGAACACCAGUGGCGAAGGCGGCUCACUGGCCCGGUACUGACGCUGAGGUGCGAAAGCGUGGGGAGCAAACAGG
RNAcentral lists this ribosomal RNA (253 nucleotides) under uncultured bacterium. RNAcentral describes it as "partial 16S ribosomal RNA". It matches the Rfam family "Bacterial small subunit ribosomal RNA", at positions 524 to 776 of the family's 1533-position model. The record is from RNAcentral.